This is an RNA transcript of Carya illinoinensis, 3937 nucleotides long. RefSeq lists it as uncharacterized. The record is from RefSeq and is a predicted model, not a curated record. NCBI's taxonomy places the organism in Eukaryota, Viridiplantae, Streptophyta, Magnoliopsida, Fagales, Juglandaceae. The transcript has 17 exons.
AACCAUAUAUAGAUGGAUAACAUUGGAGUUGAACUCCCAUCAUUCUAAUAGAUUUCCAGCUAUUCGGGGCACUUGUACGUAGGAUUUCUCCUCUUCCCCUUCCCCCUCCCGACAACGUUAAUUUCCUUGCUUUGCUCAGAGUUUGGUUGCUCUGUUUCUUCUCAAGUUUUACACAUGAGGCUAGAUUUUGAGUUCUUUGGUGAUUUUUUAAUUGCUUCAAUUGAAUUUGAAUACCUUGGUGUUUAUUUUUUUCUCUAGUGUUGGAAGCUAAUAUUUUUUCUUCAUACAAAUGUUUCGAUUAUGGGAGACACGGAAGAUCAGGAUCAGGAAUAUCGGAGUCAUUUUCUAUGUUAUUUCUUUAAUUUCUAUACCCGCAGAAGAUCAGGACAGUAAAAUAGUACUAGAUUGCCCACGUCAGUAUUAACUUGUUCUAUAUAUACAUAUAUAUCAUCAUGUUUUCUACGAACAAUUGGUCUUCAUCCUGAUCUAAUUAAUUUUCUGGGCUAGCUUGAUAGCGCGCAGGUACUGCAUCUUUCUCCAAUGUUCUAUUUAAUUCUCUCGCCUUCAUAUAUGUACGUAGAACACGUAUGCAGCAUGCUGAUCUUCCCCAUGUUUUCCUUGAAGCCCUUUAUUUUUGUUUUUUCUUUUGUUUUAAUUUGUAUCUUUUUUUUAGACGUGAACUUAAUCAGGGUUUUUGACUAAUUUUCUUGGGGGCGGGGGGGUACUUCGUUUUUUGCAGUGGUGGAGCUUGCCUGUACGUACGCUAUGGGGAAGGUUCAGAAAAACCCGAUGAGGUCCGAUACAGAAGCAUUCCCAUUAGGUCUACGGCGACUUACAAUUAGUUUCACUGAAUAUUUCAUUGUGGCUUCGUUCAUCGAACUUCUCCUUCUUCCUUUUCUGAGAAAAACAAUUCUAAGGGAGACUGAUGAAUACUUACUUCCACGGCAGUCUUUAAUCAACCAAUCCGAAAAAAUCCGGCUUGCCUACACUCUGCUCCUGCUUAUUAUUUUAAAGACCGCGUCUAUCAUACGGGAUUCAUUGGAAUGGUUCAAUAAGCGGUAUUUUAACUGGCUUACAUUAGCAGUUGUGUAUAGUCUCCUUCCUGAGCAGCGGAAGGACAUGAUCAUGAGAUGGGAUUUGUGGAAAUUCGUGAUAGGCUUUUCCUUCUGUCUUCCGACACUUUUCGUCAUCCACAGUAUUGUUUAUUAUCUCCAUCGAUACCUUUCCAAGAGUAGUGAGAGUCCAAAGUCUCCGAACAUGCAGAACAUUCUCGGGCAUUCUGCAGACUUCGGUUUGCUCUUCGCUAUUGAGGAUCGUUUUAUAAGUCAACGGAUACAAACAAUUAACAUCGGACUUGUCGGAAUUGUCCCGUCAUUCGUCGGACGUUUAUGCUUUAUUUCCAUUGCGUUAUAUUCUAUCCGCAUGGAAAUAUCAUUGUACUGGGCAAGAUCAUAUUCGAAGCCCGAUUUUAAAAAACAUGGUUCGCUGGUAUUCUGGAAUAUCAACUGACCUAUACAAAACUAUAUAUGACCUCAUGGUGUCAGUAAAUAUCUUCCAAGGUCGCUUUGACUUGCGCAUUUUGCAGGCAGCUAUGAAUCAAUCCCAAAAUGGAGCUGAUCAAGAGAAUUUGUUGCAUGAUUUUAGUGGCAAUGAAGAGUUGUGGCUUGACUUCGUGGCUGAUACUGGUGAUGGUGGGAGUUCAACAUAUACAGUGGCACGGCUGAUUGCUGAGCCUCACAUUUGUUUUGCUAGCCGCAUCUUAAAACGCGGAGACUUGCUACUCAUUGGAGGGGAUCUUGCGUAUCCUAAUCCGUCAAAGUCUACAUAUGAACAGCGCCUCCUUCGCCCUUUCGAGUAUGCUUUUGGACCGCCUGUCAAUUGUGAGGAGGAUCAUCGUGAUGGACCUCAAUGUUUCGUUAUUCCCGGAAAUCAUGAUUGGAUUGAUGGACUUCGUACCUUUACAAAGUAUAUAUGCGAGAAGAGGUGGUUGGGCGGGUGGUUUAUGCCUCAAAAGACGACUUAUUUCGCUUUGAAACUUCCUCAAAGAUGGUGGAUAUUUGGUUUUGAUCUUGCACUAGAUGGUGAUAUCGAUACCUACCAAUUCCAAUUCUUUUCAAAAAUCGCAAGGGAAAUGAUCGAAAACAAUGAUUGUGUGAUCGUUAUGACGCACCAACCAGACUGGCUUGUUGAUUGGUAUGAAGGUGGAAUUGAUGUCGACAGAGAGAAUCUCUCAAAUCUUAUAUGCAAAACUUUGAAAGAAAGGUGUAAGCUUCGAAUUGCUGGUGACAUACAUCACUAUAUGCGCCACUCAAUGGUUGAACCGAAUGAUUCAGUUUAUGCACAACAUCUACUUGUAAAUGGUUGUGGCGGAGCAUUUUCCCAUCCCACCCAUGUAUUUGGUGGUUUUAAAGAAUCUCAUGGGGUUUCCUAUGAGUGCGGAGCUAGUUAUCCAGACAAACAAACGUCGUGGAAGCUUGGAUUUAAAAAUAUUGGGAAAUUUAAAAGGGAGAAUUGGAAGUUUGAUUAUGUUGCUGGCAUUAUCUACUAUAUGUUGGCCUUUUCUAUGUUCCCACAGUGUGAGCUUAAUCACAUCUUUGAAGUAGACUCCAAGUUGUUUUUCUUAAGGACUUGUUUCCGUACGUUGUGGAAUGCUUUUAUAGACAUGCUGGAACACUCUUACGUUUCUCUAGGAGCCGUUAUGCUGCUGCUACUUGUGGCAUAUAAAUUUGCACCCUCCAAAGUUUCAAGGACGAAAAGGUUAGCGAUGGCAAUUCUUCACGUUUCUGCGCACCUAGUUGCAGCUCUAAUUCUCAUGUUGGCGUUGGAAUUGGGUCUUGAGUUGUUUAUCCGCCAUAAACUAUCAGCAACUACAUCAGGUUAUGAACACUCUUUACAUGAUCACCAGCAAUAUUUCGAAUCCCCUGAAAUUUGUCACUUUCCUCCUCCAAAUGGCACAAGAGCAGGGAUAGAAAUGUUGUGGUUUUGCCAUCUUUAUCAUGGGUGUGCCGAGAUCAUCAUCAAUCUCAUGUCUCCAAUAUUUGAUGUGCCAAAGUUUAUGGCUGUCACGCGGAACAAUAUUUGCAAGAAUGGGAUGGCGUCUCUCUCUCGAUCGGAGACCGUUUCUUAUAAUGUUUCUGUCUUCCUUUAUUUCUGGCCCUUGACGACCUUUGUAAUUUCCUAUGUGAUUGGAUUCUACCUAUGCAUCUGCGUCAGCAUGUUUAACUUGCACUACGACGAAGCCUUCUCCGCUCUUAGGAUAUCUGAUUACAAGGGCUUCACAAGAUUUCACAUCAAACCUGACGGUGAUCUUGAAGUUUUCACCCUUACAGUUGACAAGGUGCCACAGGCCUGGAUGGAGGAUCCUGAUCGGCAGCAGGAGAAGAAUAUUGACCCAGAGCGGUCGAGCCAUAAAAGAUGGUUUCCCAGCAAAUGGAUGGCAGAUUAUCCGUACGAGGACCCGUUGGAAAGUGUGAAGAUUAUUGACCAGUUUGUCAUUGGAAGAGAGAAUAGGCCAGCAGCUAGUACCAAAUAGAAGAACCAACCUCAUAAUUAUGGUACAAUUACUUGUUCAGACUAUAAAUGAUGUCACGUCGAUCAGAGAUUCAAUCCCAGGUGACAUAUUUUGUAUUGGUGUGGCUCCAGCUUCCACCUUUGUCAGUCAGAUUCUAGCGUGAGAUCAUAUAGUAUGUACUUGAAGCGGUAGUCCUAUCUAUUUCCAUGGGCCAUGGCAUGCUAUCUCAGGCUGAAGCGAUGGGAUUCAGAAAUGAUUAGAACAAGGGAUUGAACCCUUAACGUGAACCGUAAAAAUAUAGUUCAUGUGAGGAGUCCGUAGCAUUGCCCAAUGAGAUUAUAUCACUGAGGAUAUCAGCUAUGUUUUGCUAAAGGAAUUAACUCUGUUUUUUGGACAAUAUAUAAUGAAAAAUGCUUUAGGCACAAA